GAUGAACGCUGGCGGCGUGCCUAAUACAUGCAAGUCGAGCGAACAGAUAAGGAGCUUGCUCCUCUGACGUUAGCGGCGGACGGGUGAGUAACACGUGGGUAACCUACCUAUAAGACUGGAAUAACUUCGGGAAACCGGGGCUAAUGCAGGAUAACAUGUUGAACCGCAUGGUUCUAUAGUGAAAGGCGGCUUUGCUGUCACUUAUAGAUGGAUCCGCGCCGUAUUAGCUAGUUGGUAAGGUAACGGCUUACCAAGGCAACGAUACGUAGCCGACCUGAGAGGGUGAUCGGCCACACUGGAACUGAGACACGGUCCAGACUCCUACGGGAGGCAGCAGUAGGGAAUCUUCCGCAAUGGGCGAAAGCCUGACGGAGCAACGCCGCGUGAGUGAUGAAGGUCUUCGGAUCGUAAAACUCUGUUAUUAGGGAAGAACAAAUGCGUAAGUAACUGUGCGCGUCUUGACGGUACCUAAUCAGAAAGCCACGGCUAACUACGUG
RNAcentral lists this ribosomal RNA (497 nucleotides) under uncultured bacterium. Its description in RNAcentral is "partial 16S ribosomal RNA". It matches the Rfam family "Bacterial small subunit ribosomal RNA", at positions 28 to 507 of the family's 1533-position model. The record is from RNAcentral.